Molecule: ribosomal RNA, 685 nt
Filed under: uncultured bacterium
Lineage: Bacteria
Description: bacterial SSU rRNA
Rfam family: Bacterial small subunit ribosomal RNA
Source: RNAcentral
CGGGUGAGUAAAGCAUCGGAACGUACCCUAGAGUGGGGGAUAACUAUCCGAAAGGAUAGCUAAUACCGCAUAUUCUAUGAGUAGGAAAGCGGGGGAUCUUCGGACCUCGCGCUCUAGGAGCGGCCGAUGUCAGAUUAGGUAGUUGGUGGGGUAAAGGCCUACCAAGCCGACGAUCUGUAGCGGGUCUGAGAGGAUGAUCCGCCACACUGGGACUGAGACACGGCCCAGACUCCUACGGGAGGCAGCAGUGGGGAAUUUUGGACAAUGGGGGCAACCCUGAUCCAGCCAUGCCGCGUGAGUGAAGAAGGCCUUCGGGUUGUAAAGCUCUUUCGGCCGGGAAGAAAUCGUGUGGGCUAAUACCCUGCAUGGAUGACGGUACCGGAAUAAGAAGCACCGGCUAACUACGUGCCAGCAGCCGCGGUAAUACGUAGGGUGCGAGCGUUAAUCGGAAUUACUGGGCGUAAAGCGUGCGCAGGCGGUUUUUUAAGACAGGCGUGAAAUCCCCGGGCUUAACCUGGGAACUGCGCUUGUGACUGGAAGGCUAGAGUACGGCAGAGGGGGGUGGAAUUCCACGUGUAGCAGUGAAAUGCGUAGAGAUGUGGAGGAACACCGAUGGCGAAGGCAGCCCCCUGGGCCGAUACUGACGCUCAUGCACGAACACCGAUGGCGAAGGCAGCCCCCUGGG